AGGAAGAGUGCCUUCAUGAUCCA
Molecule: non-coding RNA, 23 nt
Filed under: Arabidopsis thaliana (thale cress)
Lineage: Eukaryota; Viridiplantae; Streptophyta; Magnoliopsida; Brassicales; Brassicaceae
Source: RNAcentral